CAGUAGCCGCAGGAAUACAGAGGAUGCAAGCGUUAUCCGGAAUGAUUGGGCGUAAAGGGCUCGCAGGCGGUUUCUUAAGUCUGAUGUGAAAGCCCCCGGCUCAACCGGGGAGGGUCAUUGGAAACUGGGAAACUUGAGUGCAGAAGAGGAGAGUGGAAUUCCACGUGUAGCGGUGAAAUGCGUAGAGAUGUGGAGGAACACCAGUGGCGAAGGCGACUCUCUGGUCUGUAACUGACGCUGAGGAGCGAAUGCGUGGGGAGCGAACAGGAUUAGAUACCCCCGUAGUCCCUGUCUCUUAUAC
RNAcentral lists this ribosomal RNA (301 nucleotides) under uncultured bacterium. Its description in RNAcentral is "partial 16S ribosomal RNA". It matches the Rfam family "Bacterial small subunit ribosomal RNA", at positions 509 to 807 of the family's 1533-position model. The record is from RNAcentral.